This 803-nucleotide non-coding RNA is filed under the name Dideoides latus. The record is from RNAcentral. Lineage: Eukaryota; Metazoa; Arthropoda; Insecta; Diptera; Syrphidae.
UAUAAAGUUUUAUUUUAACUUAAAAAUUUAUUAUUAAUUUAUAUUAUAUGUAAAUUUUUGUGUGAGCUUAUAUUUAUUUAAAAAAUAAAUAUUAUAUAUUUAUAAAAUAUUAUUUACAAUGAUUAAUAUUAUUAAUUAAAGAAAUUUAGAAAUAGAAAUAUUAAUUAAAUAUUGACUUAGUUUGUGCCAGCAGUUGCGGUUAUACAAACAAUAUAAAUAAAUUUUAUUAAUAGUAGUUAAAUAGUUAUAUUUAUUAAAAUAAAUAUAAAUUUAUUAAGUGAAAUUUUAAAUUUAUAAAUAUUUUUAAAAAUUAAAAUUUAUUGAAGCUAAGAAUUUUUAAUUAAAAACUAGGAUUAGAUACCCUAUUAUUUAAAAUGUAAUAAAUUUAUUUGAGUAGUAUUAGUUAUAUUCUUGAAACUUAAAAAAUUUGGCGGUAUUUUAGUCUAUUCAGAGGAACUUGUUUUUUAAUCGAUAAUCCACGAUGUACCUUACUUAAAAUUGUUAAUCAAUUUAUAUAUCGUUGUUAUUAGAAUAUUUUAUAAGAAUAAUAAUUUUCUAUAAUUUGUAUAAAAAUUAAUAUCAAAUCAAGGUGUAGUUUAUUUUUAAGUAUAAAUGAGUUACAAUAAAAAAUAUUUAUUUGGAUUUAAAUAUGAAAAAUUUAAUGAAAUUGGAUUUGAUAGUAAAAUUAUAGAGAUAAAUAAUUUGAUUUUAGCUCUAAAAUAUGUACAUAUCGCCCGUCACUCUUAUUAUUAAAAUAAGAUAAGUCGUAACAUAGUAGAUGUACUGGAAAGUGUAUCUAGAAU